GAGUUUGAUUCUGGCUCAGAAUGAACGCUGGCGGCAUGGAUUAGGCAUGCAAGUCGAACGGUGACAUCAAGUUUACUUGAUCGAUCAGUGGCGAAAGGGUGAGUAACGCGUGAACAAUCUGCCCUGAAGUUCGGGAUAGCACUAGUUAAACGUGGAUUAAUACCGGAUGUGGCGCACCUCCGCAUGGUGGUGCUGCCAAAGGCUCCGGCCGCUUCAGGAUGAGUUCGCGUCCCAUUAGCUUGUUGGUGAGGUAACGGCUCACCAAGGCGACGACGGGUAGCUGGUCUGAGAGGAUGGUCAGCCACACUGGGACUGAGACACUGCCCAGACUCCUACGGGAGGCUGCAGUCGAGAAUCUUCCGCAAUGGGCGAAAGCCUGACGGAGCAAUGCCGCGUGAGGGAUGACGGCCUUCGGGUUGUAAACCUCUGUCAACAGGGACGAAUCAUUGACGGUACCUGUAGAGGAAGCCACGGCUAACUACGUGCCAGCAGCCGCGGUAAUACGUAGGUGGCGAGCGUUAUUCGGAUUCACUGGGCGUAAAGGGUUCGCAGGGGGUCUGCUAAGUCUGAUGUGAAAGCCCACGGCUCAACCGUGGAA
This 598-nucleotide ribosomal RNA is filed under the name uncultured bacterium. Its description in RNAcentral is "bacterial SSU rRNA". It matches the Rfam family "Bacterial small subunit ribosomal RNA", at positions 9 to 620 of the family's 1533-position model. The record is from RNAcentral.